CUCCUUGCAAUAGGAAAAAAAAAAAAAAAGAACAUGGGCUUUUUAAGUCUAGUAUAUGUCCUAUUCUUCUUUUUUGGAGACAAAGUAUCCUGCCAAUAUGAAACUUAUCUAUGGGAUGAAGAUUAUGACCAAGAACCAAAUGAGGAUUAUGAACCAGAAAUCCAAUUUCGUCAACAUGUAGAAUAUGGAGUUCCUUUUUAUCAGCAUAGUUUAGGUUGUGCCAGUGAAUGCUUCUGUCCAACUAACUUUCCAACAUCGAUGUACUGUGACAAUCGCAAACUCAAGACUAUCCCAAAUAUUCCAAUGCAUAUCCAGCAACUCUACCUUCAGUUCAAUGAAAUUGAGGCUGUGACUGCAAAUUCAUUCAUCAAUGCAACUCAUCUUAAAGAAAUUAACCUCAGCCACAACAAAAUUAAAUCUCAAAAGAUUGAGUAUGGUGUGUUUGCAAAAUUUUCAAAUCUACUACAACUUCACCUAGAGCAUAACAAUUUAGAAGAAUUUCCAUUUCCUCUUCCUAAAUCUCUGGAAAGACUCCUCCUUGGUUACAAUGAAAUCUCCACAUUACACACAAGUGCCAUGGAUGGGCUGGUAAACUUGACUAUGCUCGAUCUCUGUUAUAAUCACCUUCAUGACUCCGUGUUAAAAGAAAAAAACCUUGCCAAGAUGGAAAAAUUAAUGCAGCUCAACCUAUGUCAUAACAGAUUAGAAUCAAUGCCUCCUGGAUUACCUUCCUCACUUAUGUAUCUAUCUUUAGAAAAUAAUUCAAUUUCUUCUAUACCAGACAAAUACUUUGAUGAACUUCCAAAACUUCACGCUCUAAGAAUGUCACACAACAAACUGCAAGACAUCCCAUAUAACAUCUUUAAUCUUUCCAACCUUAUAGAGCUCAACGUCGGACACAACAAAUUGAAGCAAGCAUUUUACAUUCCAAGAAAUUUGGAACACCUAUACCUAGAAAAUAAUGAAAUAGAAAGUAUGUAAAAUUUUAUAUAUUUUAAUGAACAAGAAAUGUAUUUUGCCUCUUUAAGGAAUAAAUUGUCAAUAAUCUAUGCUUCAUAAAUUAUGAGAAAGUGCUGCUUUGAAAUUGGCUAAGGAAAAGGUAGAAAUUGACCCCAGAAAAAGGUUUUCCAUUAAGUGUAUGUCUUUCCUAUUAAAAUUUUAUUAUCUUGAAUAUUAGGAAAUUGUACUAAUAGAGUAUAUAAAGAAAUAUAAAUAUAAGUCCCCUGAGUAGUGGGACUAUGAAUGAUUUUUAUUUUAUUUGUUUCUAUUAAGAAUUUAUUAAGUAAUCAGAAAAGUCAGUAAAUUUAUAUUAACUUUGGAAACGAAAUUCAUUUAUACUUUCAUUUUCCUUAGCAUCAAAUAAUAAUUGAACCUAAAACCACUUAUAAAUAUUUUAAUAAAACUAUUCCAUGUAACAUAAAACCCUACAUAGAAUUAUGAAUAUAAACUAGUUUUAAUUUUUAAUUCGUAUUUUUCAGAUAUCAAUGUGACAAUGAUGUGUCCUUCUAUUGACCCACUACAUCUUCACCAUUUAACAUACCUUCGUGUGGACCAAAAUAAGCUGAAAGAACCCAUAAAUUCACAUAUCUUCUCCUGCUUCCCUCAUAUACAUAGUAUUUAUUAUGGUGAACAAAGAAGCACAAAUGGUCAAACAAUACAACUGAAGACCCAAGUUUUUGGGAGAUUUCAAGAUGAUGACGAAGAUGAUGGGGAUGAUCAUGAUAACACUCCUGAAGGCCAAGAAACAGAAGGGACAGAAGAACACUUCAACCCUCACUACUAUGAAACUCAAGAAUGGCAAGAAAUUAUAUAGGUAUAUGUUUAUGACUUCAUAAAAUUUAUAACUAACUGAACACAUAAUUGUGCAAAAUAAUAUAUCUAGAAUUAUGUAUUAGUAUAAAACCAGACUUGCAUUUAACAAUCAACUGCAUCAUUGCAUAGCAUUAGAACUUACUCAAAUGACAUAGAUCUUUAGAAAUAUCAAUUAGAAAUAGUGAGAAUAAAAAACUAAACUUCAAUGGCUUCUUAUACUUUUUUCAAACUUUUAAACAUCAUCAAGCUGGAAAAAAAGUGAACAUGUCGAUUCUCUUAACAGUAAUUUCCACAGAAUGAUUAAGAAAAUAGCAUUAGCCAGGAGACCAGAGUCAAGUCCAUUCCAUCACUCUGAGGACAUCUGAUAACAGUUGGGCACAUCAGUGUAAAAAGCAAGCAUUCAUUUAAGUAAUACACUGUCUUCUUCCACUCUUUCUUCAGACUUCAAGCUUGUAGUUGUUACUCAUUCAUUACGGUACCCUAGGAUUACUAUUAGGAGCACAGAAUAUGUUUUAUUUUUAAGAGGCCAUCUUACUAAGAAUCCAAAGCACACAGAUUUAUGAAAUCACAUGUUCACACUUUUCUCUUAAAGCAUCAAACAGGUAACUAAAAACCACCAGAUUAUUUCAGAGCAAUUUGUCUUUUAGGAAAAUUUAGCAAUAGUCGAAAAUCUUUAUUGUGUUCCAUUUUCUCUCUCUCUCUCUUUUUUAGUUAUAUAAAGAUUUGCUGAUAAAUAACUGCUUUGUUCACAAAGUUAAAUUAAUGUUGCCAAAAUAAGUCAUUUUAUAUAAUAAAAAGCCC
RNAcentral lists this long non-coding RNA (2613 nucleotides) under Marmota monax (woodchuck). Lineage: Eukaryota; Metazoa; Chordata; Mammalia; Rodentia; Sciuridae. The record is from RNAcentral.